Long non-coding RNA from Gordionus sp. m RMFG-2023, 1552 nucleotides. RefSeq lists it as uncharacterized. The record is from RefSeq and is a predicted model, not a curated record. The transcript has 3 exons. Lineage: Eukaryota; Metazoa; Nematomorpha; Gordioida; Chordodea; Parachordodidae.
CAUCCUAUUUAUACAUAAUGCUCAAGUUAUCUCACUCUAUAGCGAAAAACAAAAACUUUUAGUAUCAUUCCAUGGAGGAUGUGAGACAAAUCUCACAGAAAUGUCAUUAUCAGGUCACUUUGGAAUCAACAAGACAUAUGAUAAACUAGUUGAAAGCCUGAUAUCACCCAAAAAGCUUGCAACACUUUUAAAAUGUACUUUAACAUAAUCAGGUACUUUUGGUGAAGAUACAAUAAUAGCUAUUAAAAGUAUAGUGAGAGAGGAAGGAUAUAUAGGUGUACAAGAUCAGGAUGACCAAAUUAUUGUGGAGCAAUAAUACCAAAAAAAAUUGGUGAACUUUUUCUGCCCACAACAAGGAACUGGAAGGUAUAUCACUCUAAACGGUUCAGUUUCAAAGUAAUUGGACGUUAUCCCAAGAUAAAAUGUGGUAUAUUAAAAAAGAUUUUCACAACCGAUCAUAUUGUGGGUGAUGGGAACUGUUUUUUUAGGUUAGAAUCAAUAUAUGUUUAUAGGUGUAUAAGUCAAGAGAUAUCAAAUAGCCAGGAAAAUUAUAAUUACCUUAGGGAGGAAUGAAUUUUUUUUAUGAGGAGCGAAGAUUUUAAAUUGGAAAUGGGAAAAUUUAUAGGAUAUCCUGUAGAGGAAUACCUAGUUAACAGAAAUGUUAUGGGAAACGGUGUCUGGGCAACAGAGGUAGAAAUAUUAUCUAUGGCCACAUUGUUACAGACAAAUAUAUUAAUCUAUACCCAAUAUAAGUGGGCUUAUUAUUCGCCCAUGAAAUUUUUUAAUAAUAUUAAAAUAUUUAAAGAAAAUAUUUAUUUAUGCAAUGUAAAUAACAAUCAUUUUGUUAGAAUUAUAUCAAUGUGAUUAUCUAUUCUAAUAUUUUUAUUCCAUUAUAUUUAUUGCAAUUUAGUUGAAAGAUGAUAAUCGGCAGAGUUGGGCAGGUCCUCCGGAAAAAGAAUCUAGAUACAGAUACAGAUUCUUUAAAAUGAAUCUUAGAUACAGAUACUAGUAUCUUGUUCAAAAUAUCAAAAAGAUAAAAGAUACUUGUAUCUUUUACUAAAUUAGAGUAUCUUAAAUACUAGAUACUUUUAAAUUAUCAUUACCAAUUAAGUUAGAAUAGUUUAUAAAAUACAAUUUUUAUUAUUUAUAUGUGAAGAACAUAGUAUUACACAUAUAAUAAUGAAUAUUUGCAAUAAUUAAUAAAAUAUUUAUUGAUGAAUUAAUUAUAAUAACCAGGGAUUUUAAUAUUAAUUUUUGUCCAUUAAUAGCUUAAACAGGAAAGGGAGAGUAGUAUAUUUAAUGGGAGUUUGUGCAAAUAAGAAAAAAAAUUAAAUCAAAUGAUUUAUUAGAGUUUGCAGGUUAUUUUUUGUGUUGUUUUAAAUAUAGCUUAUAUUCGGAGUAUAUGGCUAAAUGGAAUCUCUAAAAAAAAUAAUACUAGUUUUAUUUUAUUCAUUAUCUUUAAUAAGUAUUUUUUAUUACUUGUUUGUGAUAUUUAUGUAUUUUUUAAAUUAGUUUUAUUUUCUAGUAUGACUUAUUAAAUCUUGCAUUUGUA